GACGAACGCUGGCGGCGUGCUUAGCACAUGCAAGUCGAACGGAAAGGCCCUGCUUUUGUGGGGUGCUCGAGUGGCGAACGGGUGAGUAACACGUGAGUAACCUGCCCUUGACUUUGGGAUAACUUCAGGAAACUGGGGCUAAUACCGGAUAGGAGCUCCUGCUGCAUGGUGGGGGUUGGAAAGUUUCGGCGGUUGGGGAUGGACUCGCGGCUUAUCAGCUUGUUGGUGGGGUAGUGGAUUACCAAGGCUUUGACGGGUAGCCGGCCUGAGAGGGUGACCGGCCACAUUGGGACUGAGAUACGGCCCAGACUCCUACGGGAGGCAGCAGUGGGGAAUAUUGCACAAUGGGCGGAAGCCUGAUGCAGCAACGCCGCGUGCGGGAUGACGGCCUUCGGGUUGUAAACCGCUUUCGCCUGUGACGAAGCGUGAGUGACGGUAAUGGGUAAAGAAGCACCGGCUAACUACGUG
RNAcentral lists this ribosomal RNA (468 nucleotides) under uncultured bacterium. Its description in RNAcentral is "partial 16S ribosomal RNA". It matches the Rfam family "Bacterial small subunit ribosomal RNA", at positions 28 to 507 of the family's 1533-position model. The record is from RNAcentral.